Molecule: ribosomal RNA, 466 nt
Filed under: uncultured bacterium
Lineage: Bacteria
Description: bacterial SSU rRNA
Rfam family: Bacterial small subunit ribosomal RNA
Source: RNAcentral
CCAGACUCCUACGGGAGGCAGCAGUGAGGAAUAUUGGUCAAUGGUCGGGAGACUGAACCAGCCAAGCCGCGUGAGGGAUGAAGGUACAGAGUAUCGUAAACCUCUUUUGUCAGGGAACAAAGGCGGGGACGUGUCCCCGGAUGAGUGUACCUGAAGAAAAGGCAUCGGCUAACUCCGUGCCAGCAGCCGCGGUAAUACGGAGGAUGCGAGCGUUAUCCGGAUUUAUUGGGUUUAGAGGGUGCGUAGGCGGGGGCUUAAGUCAGCGGUAAAAUUGCGGGGCUCAACCUCGUCGAGCCGUUGAAACUGCAUCCCUUGAGUGCGCGAGAAGUAUGCGGAAUGCGUGGUGUAGCGGUGAAAUGCAUAGAUAUCACGCAGAACUCCGAUUGCGAAGGCAGCAUACCGGCGCGCAACUGACGCUCAUGCACGAAAGCGUGGGUAUCGAACAGGAUUAGAUACCCCCGUACGA